GAUCCUGGCUCAGAGUGAACGCUGGCGGUAGGCCUAACACAUGCAAGUCGAACGGCAGCACAGUAAGAGCUUGCUCUUAUGGGUGGCGAGUGGCGGACGGGUGAGGAAUACAUCGGAAUCUACCUUUUCGUGGGGGAUAACGUAGGGAAACUUACGCUAAUACCGCAUACGACCUGGUGAAGACAGGACGUCGGCGUCGUCGCGGAGAGAUGAGCGACGUGUCGGAGUUAGUCUAGUUGGUCGGGGUAAGGG
Molecule: ribosomal RNA, 252 nt
Filed under: uncultured bacterium
Lineage: Bacteria
Description: partial 16S ribosomal RNA
Rfam family: Bacterial small subunit ribosomal RNA
Source: RNAcentral